UUUUCGAUGGGAGAUGGCAUGCCUCCUGUCCCAACCGCCGCAAGGCUGAUGAUGCCUACGCCACC
This 65-nucleotide non-coding RNA is filed under the name Frateuria aurantia. Its description in RNAcentral is "Fluoride sequence". It matches the Rfam family "Fluoride riboswitch aptamer (crcB RNA motif)". RNAcentral also lists the same sequence under 1 other name. The record is from RNAcentral. Lineage: Bacteria; Pseudomonadati; Pseudomonadota; Gammaproteobacteria; Lysobacterales; Rhodanobacteraceae.